Molecule: ribosomal RNA, 1119 nt
Filed under: uncultured Oxalobacteraceae bacterium
Lineage: Bacteria; Pseudomonadati; Pseudomonadota; Betaproteobacteria; Burkholderiales; Oxalobacteraceae
Description: bacterial SSU rRNA
Rfam family: Bacterial small subunit ribosomal RNA
Source: RNAcentral
GGAGAAAAGCAGGGGAUCGCAAGACCUUGCGCGAAUGGAGCGGCCGAUGGCAGAUUAGGUAGUUGGUGAGGUAAAGGCUCACCAAGCCUUCGAUCAGUAGCUGGUCUGAGAGGACGACCAGCCACACUGGAACUGAGACACGGUCCAGACUCCUACGGGAGGCAGCAGUGGGGAAUCUUGGACAAUGGGCGAAAGCCUGAUCCAGCAAUGCCGCGUGAGUGAAGAAGGCCUUCGGGUUGUAAAGCUCUUUUGUCAGGGAAGAAACGGUGCGGGCUAAUAUCCUGCACUAAUGACGGUACCUGAAGAAUAAGCACCGGCUAACUACGUGCCAGCAGCCGCGGUAAUACGUAGGGUGCAAGCGUUAAUCGGAAUUACUGGGCGUAAAGCGUGCGCAGGCGGUUUUGUAAGUUUGUCGUGAAAUCCCCGGGCUCAACCUGGGAAUGGCGAUGAAGACUGCAAGGCUAGAAUCUGGCAGAGGGGGGUAGAAUUCCACGUGUAGCAGUGAAAUGCGUAGAGAUGUGGAGGAACACCGAUGGCGAAGGCAGCCCCCUGGGUCAAGAUUGACGCUCAUGCACGAAAGCGUGGGGAGCAAACAGGACUAGAUACCCUGGUAGUCCACGCCCUAAACGAUGUCUACUAGUUGUCGGGUUUUAAUUAACUUGGUAACGCAGCUAACGCGUGAAGUAGACCGCCUGGGGAGUACGGUCGCAAGAUUAAAACUCAAAGGAAUUGACGGGGACCCGCACAAGCGGUGGAUGAUGUGGAUUAAUUCGAUGCAACGCGAAAAACCUUACCUACCCUUGACAUGGACGGAAGCCACGAGAGAUCGAGGUGUGCUCGAAAGAGAACCGUCACACAGGUGCUGCAUGGCUGUCGUCAGCUCGUGUCGUGAGAUGUUGGGUUAAGUCCCGCAACGAGCGCAACCCUUGUCAUUAGUUGCUACGAAAGAGCACUCUAAUGAGACUGCCGGUGACAAACCGGAGGAAGGUGGGGAUGACGUCAAGUCCUCAUGGCCCUUAUGGGUAGGGCUUCACACGUCAUACAAUGGUACAUACAGAGGGCCGCCAACCCGCGAGGGGGAGUUAAUCCCAGAAAGUGUAUCGUAGUCCGGAUCGGAGU